GGUAUCUCUCUUCGUUCAUUUUCUAUCUUCGCUUCUUCACCCAAACAGUCUUCUGUCUCUCUCUAACUCAGUCUCUUCUAGUUAUCUUCUUUCAUUAGAUUCAUGCUAUAAAAUCAUGAAUCCAACUUCUCAGUAAGAUGAAUCGUGAGCCUAUAUCAAAAGCAACCCAAACAACCCAACCUUUCAGCAGAAAUCAAUUACCCUAACCCAUGUAUCAGCAAAAAUCUAAAGUAAACAUUGUAACCCAAGAUCUACUUGAUUUGCUCCCAAAAUCAUCAAGUAAGGUAUUCACUUUUCUACUUUUACCUACAAGAUCUCUUCUCCUAGAGUUGAAGAAAUCACCUGUCGUAAAGAAGGAUUUAACCCCAUCAUAGAUUGGUAUCAAUUUCAUGAUUCUCAUGGUGUUGCUCAAGUUAACAGUGUUUUCUUAGAAUUUCUUGUGUUUUUCUCGAUUGAUUUGUCUGUAUUGGUCUAAUUUGGUUUUGGUUUUGGUUUGAUAUUUAAAAGUUCACAAGGGUUUAUACAGACUAUUGAUUGAAUAUUUAUUGUGGUUUUUAAGUUUAUAUGAAGUUUUAGAAUCUGGUUUUUAUGUUUUUGUUUGAUUGGAAUACAGAAAAAUUGAAAUUUUUAGAUUUUGGCUCGUGUAUAUUGCUGCUUUGGGGUUCAAAAGUUGAUUGAAUUGCUUCUGUCAUUGCUGAAGCUUAAUUUUUUUUGUCAAAUAUGUUUGAUGAAGAAUCUUAUAUUGUUAUGUAUUCAAAGUUUGUAUUCGGAUACAUUUUUCACUAGUGACACUGGCAAGUGGCAAUUUUUUGUCAUGUAAGGCUCUUCAUUGGUAACUCGUUAUGCCCAUGUUAAUUCAAGCUUCCAUGUUUCGUUUAAUCUUACAUAUGUAAUGUCAUAAUUUGGGAUACGCAAAAAUGUCCUUGUAUUUUUGCAGCUUUGUGAGCAUCCUCCAGGAAAUGUCAGACAAGGACUUGUAUCUGUUAUUGGUGGACUAUUGUUAAAGUGUAGUUUCACUCCUAAGAAGAGCUAGUUCAUGCAUUUGGUGAGAUAAAAUUGUCUCGAAAUGUAUCUGAACUUUUGGGAUAAAAUAUUUAGGAAAUGAAUGAUUUUACAUACUCAAUAUCACUAACCGGUACCAAAUUGAAAAGGUUUUCGACUCUAAAACUAUCCUUUUGUUUAAAGGACUUUGAAACAUGCAGUAAUUUUCAAGUCAUGGGAUAUGUCUCUUAAGAUAAAAACUCAUUUUAACUGUCAAUUUUGAGACUAAUGCUUCUCAUUUUAAAUUUAUUGCAGGAAUGUUUAUUUUUUCUGGUUUAUGCUUAUUCUGAUGAAGUGUCUGUUGUAGCAGCACACGAUUCUAUUGAAUGUUCCCUUAUGCUGGGUGAAAAAGGACUUAUAGAAGUAUAAAUUGGUGAUAUCAUUAAAUGGUUGGUAUGCUUUGAUUAUUUUUGUCAUUUAUUUCAAUGGUUGUCUCAGAUCUAAGUAAGAGUUUGUGACAAGAUGGUAGAAAAACUUCCGAAAGUGGUGCUUGGAAACGAAGAACAUGUUGCAUUGUCCAAUGCUUAAUGAUUACUUGCAGGCAUUCAACUUCUAGUGGACCAUGUUCUUCGAUCUCCUGUUCUAGCGGAAUCAUACAGUUUGGAUGUGAAUCUGACUAUGAAAUGAGAUGCGCUUGGGUAUUUGUUUUAUUCUUGUCUUAACAGUUUGAAACCUGGCAUUUUUUCCGUUGGUAUACAUCCAUCCAAGGAUGGCUCUCUUUCUCGUUGCACUCUCAAUCACCACAGGCUUCUGAAAUGGAUCUUAAAAUGCAAUACCAAGCUCUUUGACCUAUCAGUUUCUAACUUAAAACCAAGUGCAUCUACUUCCUAUUUCAAGUGUUGCAGAUUCCUCUUCUUCAAAGACACCACCCGACAAGGACCGGGACUAUGGAGAAGCAUUAUGGUUAUGCAAAACUUCACUCAUGUUUUCUUUGUAAUUUUUGUACAAUGAUUUUCUUUUUAGAUUUCUGGAUGUUUCAUUAAUUAUUUUAGAUUUGGAACUGAUUGUAGUUUGUCAUUGUAAAAUGAAAUCCACGUGUUUAGUGAAUUUUUCGCGGAUUUAGAACUUGAUUAAUUGUAGUUUC
This is a long non-coding RNA of Papaver somniferum (opium poppy), 2125 nucleotides long. RefSeq lists it as uncharacterized. The record is from RefSeq and is a predicted model, not a curated record. The transcript has 6 exons. NCBI's taxonomy places the organism in Eukaryota, Viridiplantae, Streptophyta, Magnoliopsida, Ranunculales, Papaveraceae.